GGUGAAAAGCACCCCGGAAGGGGAGUGAAAUAGAACCUGAAACCGUGUGCUUACAAGUAGUCAGAGCCCGUUAAUGGGUGAUGGCGUGCCUUUUGUAGAAUGAACCGGCGAGUUACGAUUUGAUGCAAGGUUAAGCAGUAAAUGUGGAGCCGUAGCGAAAGCGAGUCUGAAUAGGGCGUUUAGUAUUUGGUCGUAGACCCGAAACCAGGUGAUCUACCCUUGGUCAGGUUGAAGUUCAGGUAACACUGAAUGGAGGACCGAACCGACUUACGUUGAAAAGUGAGCGGAUGAACUGAGGGUAGCGGAGAAAUUCCAAUCGAACCUGGAGAUAGCUGGUUCUCUCCGAAAUAGCUUUAGGGCUAGCCUCAAGUGAUGAUUAUUGGAGGUAGAGCACUGUUUGGACGAGGGGCCCCUCUCGGGUUACCGAAUUCAGACAAACUCCGAAUGCCAAUUAAUUUAACUUGGGAGUCAGAACAUGGGUGAUAAGGUCCGUGUUCGAAAGGGAAACAGCCCAGACCACCAGCUAAGGUCCCAAAAUAUAUGUUAAGUGGAAAAGGAUGUGGCGUUGCCCAGACAACUAGGAUGUUGGCUUAGAAGCAGCCAUCAUUUAAAGAGUGCGUAAUAGCUCACUAGUCGAGUGACACUGCGCCGAAAAUGUACCGGGGCUAAACAUAUUACCGAAGCUGUGGAUUGUCCUUUGGACAAUGGUAGGAGAGCGUUCUAAGGGCGUUGAAGCAUGAUCGUAAGGACAUGUGGAGCGCUUAGAAGUGAGAAUGCCGGUGUGAGUAGCGAAAGACGGGUGAGAAUCCCGUCCACCGAUUGACUAAGGUUUCCAGAGGAAGGCUCGUCCGCUCUGGGUUAGUCGGGUCCUAAGCUGAGGCCGACAGGCGUAGGCGAUGGAUAACAGGUUGAUAUUCCUGUACCACCUAUAAUCGUUUUAAUCGAUGGGGGGACGCAGUAGGAUAGGCGAAGCGUGCGAUUGGAUUGCACGUCUAAGCAGUAAGGCUGAGUAUUAGGCAAAUCCGGUACUCAUUAAGGCUGAGCUGUGAUGGGGAGAAGACAUUGUGUCUUCGAGUCGUUGAUUUCACACUGCCGAGAAAAGCCUCUAGAUAGAAAAUAGGUGCCCGUACCGCAAACCGACACAGGUAGUCAAGAUGAGAAUUCUAAGGUGAGCGAGCGAACUCUCGUUAAGGAACUCGGCAAAAUGACCCCGUAACUUCGGGAGAAGGGGUGCUCUUUAGGGUUAACGCCCAGAAGAGCCGCAGUGAAUAGGCCCAAGCGACUGUUUAUCAAAAACACAGGUCUCUGCUAAACCGUAAGGUGAUGUAUAGGGGCUGACGCCUGCCCGGUGCUGGAAGGUUAAGAGGAGUGGUUAGCUUCUGCGAAGCUACGAAUCGAAGCCCCAGUAAACGGCGGCCGUAACUAUAACGGUCCUAAGGUAGCGAAAUUCCUUGUCGGGUAAGUUCCGACCCGCACGAAAGGCGUAACGAUUUGGGCACUGUCUCAACGAGAGACUCGGUGAAAUCAUAGUACCUGUGAAGAUGCAGGUUACCCGCGACAGGACGGAAAGACCCCGUGGAGCUUUACUG
RNAcentral lists this ribosomal RNA (1589 nucleotides) under Staphylococcus aureus. RNAcentral describes it as "partial 23S ribosomal RNA". It matches the Rfam family "Bacterial large subunit ribosomal RNA", at positions 513 to 2106 of the family's 2925-position model. Lineage: Bacteria; Bacillati; Bacillota; Bacilli; Caryophanales; Staphylococcaceae. The record is from RNAcentral.